CGUGUAGGCGGCCAGGUAAGUCGGAUGUGAAAGCCCGGGGCCCAACCCCGGAACUGCACCCGAUACUGCCUGGCUGGAGUCCCGGAGAGGAUGGCGGAAUUUCCGGUGUAGAGGUGAAAUUCGUAGAUAUCGGAAGGAACACCAGUGGCGAAGGCGGCCAUCUGGACGGUGACUGACGCUGAGACGCGAAAGCGUGGGGAGCAAACAGGAUUAGAUACCCUGGUAGUCCACGCCGUAAACGUUGGGUGCUAGACGUCGGGGGUAUUGACCCCUCCGGUGUCGAAGCUAACGCAUUAAGCACCCCGCCUGGGGAGUACGGCCGCAAGGCUAAA
Molecule: ribosomal RNA, 332 nt
Filed under: uncultured Phaselicystis sp.
Lineage: Bacteria; Pseudomonadati; Myxococcota; Polyangiales; Phaselicystidaceae
Description: bacterial SSU rRNA
Rfam family: Bacterial small subunit ribosomal RNA
Source: RNAcentral